RNAcentral lists this ribosomal RNA (460 nucleotides) under uncultured bacterium. Its description in RNAcentral is "partial 16S ribosomal RNA". It matches the Rfam family "Bacterial small subunit ribosomal RNA", at positions 338 to 795 of the family's 1533-position model. The record is from RNAcentral.
CCUACGGGGGGCAGCAGUGAGGAAUAUUGGUCAAUGGACGAGAGUCUGAACCAGCCAAGUAGCGUGAAGGAUGACUGCCCUAUGGGUUGUAAACUUCUUUUAUAUGGGAAUAAAAUGUUCCACGUGUGGGAUUUUGUAUGUACCAUAUGAAUAAGGAUCGGCUAACUCCGUGCCAGCAGCCGCGGUAAUACGGAGGAUCCGAGCGUUAUCCGGAUUUAUUGGGUUUAAAGGGAGCGUAGGUGGAUUGUUAAGUGAGUUGUGAAAGUUUGCGGCUCAACCGGAAAAUUGCAGUUGAAACUGGCAGUCUUGAGUACAGUAGAGGUGGGCGGAAUUCGUGGUGUAGCGGUGAAAUGCUUAGAUAUCACGAAGAACUCCGAUUGCGAAGGCAGUUCACUGGACUGCAACUGACACUGAGGCUCGAAAGUGUGGGUAUCAAACAGGAUUAGAUACCCUAGUAGUC